This 148-nucleotide ribosomal RNA is filed under the name Gemmatimonadota bacterium. RNAcentral describes it as "Gemmatimonadetes bacterium partial 23S ribosomal RNA". It matches the Rfam family "Bacterial large subunit ribosomal RNA", at positions 2781 to 2925 of the family's 2925-position model. The record is from RNAcentral. Lineage: Bacteria; Pseudomonadati; Gemmatimonadota.
CUAAGUGGGAAACCCUCCCCAAGAUGAACACUCCCGGGUCGCGAGACCCCUGAAGGGCCGUGGGAGACUACCACGUUGAUAGGCGGCAGGUGUAAGGCGCGCGAGCGCUUCAGCCGAGCCGUACUAAUUGCCCGUGAGGCUUGAUCUC